This 712-nucleotide ribosomal RNA is filed under the name uncultured archaeon. Its description in RNAcentral is "bacterial SSU rRNA". It matches the Rfam family "Archaeal small subunit ribosomal RNA", at positions 52 to 770 of the family's 1478-position model. The record is from RNAcentral.
UGCGAGUCGUGAGAUUUCGGAUCUCGGCAGACCGCUCAGUAACACGUGGAUAGUCUACCCUUAGGUAGGGGAUAAUCUCGAGAAAUUGAGGAUAACACCCUAUAGACCUAAAAUGUUGGAAUACUUUUAGAUCAAAAGCUCCGGCGCCUAAGGAUGAAUCUGCGGCCUAUUAGGUAGUAGUGAGUGUAACGGACUCACUAGCCUGUGAUGGGUACGGGCCUUGAGAGAGGUUGCCCGGAGAUGUACUCUGAGACACGAGUACAGGCCCUACGGGGCGCAGCAGGCGCGAAAACUUCACAAUGCGGGAAACCGUGAUGAGGGAAUUCCAAGUGCUAAUACAAUGUAUUAGCUGUUUUUCUGUCUAAAUCGCAGAGAGAGUAAGGGCUGGGUAAGACAGGUGCCAGCCGCCGCGGUAAUACCUGCAGCUCAAGUGGUGAUCACUUUUAUUGGGUCUAAAGCGUCCGUAGCCUGUCUAGUAAAUCCUUGAGUAAAUCGAAUAGCUCAACUAUUCGAAUUUCGGGGAGACUGCUAGACUGGGGACUGGGAGAGGUUAGAGGUACUCUUGGGGUAGAGGUGAAAUUCUGUAAUCCUAUGGGGACCACCAGUGGCGAAGGCGUCUAACUUGAACGGAUCCGACGGUGAGGGACGAAACCCUGGGGCACAAACGGGAUUAGAUACCCCGGUAGUCCAGGGCGUAAACGCUGUAGGCUUG